GUCUGUGGCCAUACCACCCUGAACGCACCCCAUCUCCUCUGAUCUCCGAAGCUAAGCAGGGUCGGGCCCAGUUAGUACUUGGAAGGGAGACAUUUCACCAGAAUUAAUUUCUUGUUCUUGACA
This 123-nucleotide ribosomal RNA is filed under the name Octodon degus (degu). The record is from RNAcentral. Lineage: Eukaryota; Metazoa; Chordata; Mammalia; Rodentia; Octodontidae.